GAUGAACGCUGGCGGCGUGCCUAAUACAUGCAAGUCGAGCGAACGGACGAGAAGCUUGCUUCUCUGAUGUUAGCGGCGGACGGGUGAGUAACACGUGGAUAACCUACCUAUAAGACUGGUAUAACUUCGGGAAACCGUAGCUAAUACCGGAUAAUCUUUUGAACCGCAUGUUUCAAAAGUGAAAGACGGUCUUGCUGUCACUUAUAGAUGGAUCCGCGCUGCAUUAGCUAGUUGGUAAGGUAACGGCUUACCAAGGCAACGAUGCAUAGCCGACCUGAGAGGGGGAUCGGCCACACUGGAACUGAGACACGGGCCAGACUCCCACGGGAGGCAGCAGGAGGGAAUCUUCCGCAAUGGGCGAAAGCAUGACGGAGCAACGACGCGUGAGUGAUGAAGGUCUUCGGAUCGUAAAACUCUGUUAUUAGGGAAGAACAUAUGUGUAAGUAACUGUGCACAGCGUGACGGUACCUAAUCAGAAAGCCACGGCUAACUACGU
This 496-nucleotide ribosomal RNA is filed under the name uncultured bacterium. Its description in RNAcentral is "partial 16S ribosomal RNA". It matches the Rfam family "Bacterial small subunit ribosomal RNA", at positions 28 to 506 of the family's 1533-position model. The record is from RNAcentral.